RNAcentral lists this small nuclear RNA (116 nucleotides) under Salvator merianae (Argentine black and white tegu). RNAcentral's name for it is "U5 spliceosomal RNA (ENSSMRG00000018388.1)". It matches the Rfam family "U5 spliceosomal RNA". From Rfam's summary of the family: U5 RNA is a component of both types of known spliceosome. The precise function of this molecule is unknown, though it is known that the 5' loop is required for splice site selection and p220 binding, and that both the 3' stem-loop and the Sm site are important for Sm protein binding and cap methylation. Lineage: Eukaryota; Metazoa; Chordata; Lepidosauria; Squamata; Teiidae. The record is from Rfam by way of RNAcentral.
AUACUCUGGUUUCUCUUCAGAUCGUAUAAAUCUUUCGCCUUUUACUAAAGAUUUCCGUGGAGAGGAACAGUUAUGAGUUUGUAGUUAAUUUUUUGAGGUCCUGCUUCGGUAGGACU